Molecule: long non-coding RNA, 741 nt
Organism: Octopus sinensis (East Asian common octopus)
Lineage: Eukaryota; Metazoa; Mollusca; Cephalopoda; Octopoda; Octopodidae
Exons: 4
Source: RefSeq, a predicted model, not a curated record
GUGCAGUAAGAGGUUGUGCUGCUCUAUAUAGAUUAUGUCUGCCUUUGCUGUUACUUGUCCAAAUUCAGAUAACAACAGUCUGUCAGGGGAUGAGCCAAUGAAGGAAGCUCCAAUGCAGUGGUUCUCAAAAUGGAGUCUGUGGUGCCCGAGGAGACUACGAAAGGACACUGAAGUAUCAUGAAAACAGGAUGACUUGAGACAGUAAACUGAUAUCUGACUGUCCAACAAAGACUUCAAAAGUAACAAGCAGUGACUUCUCUUGAAAACGCCAAAAUCUGGCAUUGAGGUGCUAUCAAGUACCUGCAGAAAAACAGUUUAGCUCUCAGUGACAUUCACACUGAAAUAAUCGUUACAUUAGGGAUGAUGCCCCAACUUUAUCAACAGUGCAAAAGUGGGGAUAGUCAAGAGAAGAAGGCAUUUUGCCAUAUAUCAUCUUGUUUAGGGUUGACCACACACAAAAUAAUAACAAGAUCAUCAAAGUCUUGACAUUGUGGGAGUCUUCACAGGGUCACUAUCUGCUGGAAGAAAUAGCAGUCUUAAAAAAAGGAAGGAUGAAUUAGAUAAUGUGUCUGAAUACAGGUAAAACUUUGAUCAAUAGGUCUGACUGAUCAGGACUGAUUUGAGGCUAAACAACUAACAGCAAGGCAUGGACAAAACUAUGAGAAGCAUUAAAAAUAUGAGUUUAUUGCUAAUAGAGUCUCAGCUAUGAUUAUAAAUGUACAACACAUACACACACAUACA